CCUACGGGGGGCAGCAGUGAGGAAUAUUGGUCAAUGGACGAGAGUCUGAACCAGCCAAGUAGCGUGAAGGAUGACUGCCCUAUGGGUUGUAAACUUCUUUUAUAUGGGAAUAAAAUGUUCCACGUGUGGGAUUUUGUAUGUACCAUAUGCAUAAGGAUCGGCUAACUCCGUGCCAGCAGCCGCGGUAAUACGGAGGAUCCGAGCGUUAACCGGAUUUAUUGGGUUUAAAGGGAGCGUAGGUGGAUUGUUAAGUCAGUGGUGAAAGUUUGCGGCUCAACCGUAAAAUUGCAGUUGAAACUGGCAGUCGUGAGUACAGUAGAGGUGGGCGGAAUUCGUGGUGUAGCGGUGAAAUGCUUAGAUAUCACGAAGAACUCCGAUUGCGAAGGCAGCUCACUGGACUGCAACUGACACUGAGGCUCGAAAGUGUGGGUAUCAAACAGGAUUAGAUACCCUUGUAGUC
RNAcentral lists this ribosomal RNA (460 nucleotides) under uncultured bacterium. Its description in RNAcentral is "partial 16S ribosomal RNA". It matches the Rfam family "Bacterial small subunit ribosomal RNA", at positions 338 to 795 of the family's 1533-position model. The record is from RNAcentral.